Long non-coding RNA from Capsicum annuum, 634 nucleotides. RefSeq lists it as uncharacterized. NCBI's taxonomy places the organism in Eukaryota, Viridiplantae, Streptophyta, Magnoliopsida, Solanales, Solanaceae. The record is from RefSeq and is a predicted model, not a curated record. The transcript has 3 exons.
CUGCAUUAGUUGACAUUUGUUUGACUAUUUUCUAAGGUUGUGAACUUCAUAAUGUAUAUAGAUUACUCAUUGUUUGUGGACAUGAUCAGCAUCAAGGCAAGUGGGUGGCUUUGCUUGAUAGAAAAGGAAGCAGCCAUGUGCAAGCCAAUGGAAAGACCAUCAGCAAAUAUUCUUUUUGCUUUCUCAAUUCAGGCGAUGAAGUUGUCUUAAGUCAAGCAGAAAAUAAUUCUUACAUUGUUCAGUUACUAUUGGUGUCGCCUUCAGAUGUUGGGACCAGUGCCGGAAAAGGAAAACUGUUGAAUAUCGAAAACCAGGUAGAAGAUGUUUUGGUAUUGCUCGUGCUUUUGAUUUGUCGGUAUUUUCAAACCCAUGUCGAGAUCUAUUUUCUUUGAAACCGACAUCUCAGGUUAGUGGUAAUAAACACCCAAGAAAUGAGCUGCAUGCCUCCUUCCCUCUUGAUGCGUACAGAUGGUGGAUUACAGAAUCAAUGCCUGCUUCAACUUCAGAGAUGUCUUCAAAAUCUGCUGCAGUUAUGGGAAAACUUUAUGCUGCAAUCAUUGACGGACAAAAUAUAGAAGUAUCAUUCGAUGACUUUCCAUAUUACUUAAGGUAGUCAACUAGGCAACUAGAUCAC